This is an RNA transcript of Populus nigra (black poplar), 1127 nucleotides long. RefSeq lists it as uncharacterized. NCBI's taxonomy places the organism in Eukaryota, Viridiplantae, Streptophyta, Magnoliopsida, Malpighiales, Salicaceae. The record is from RefSeq and is a predicted model, not a curated record. The transcript has 5 exons.
GUACCGUAUGGUCUGUCUUUCUUGGUUUUUUGAUUUCCUCUUCCACGUAUUUGUCAGAGACAACUCUAACUACCCUCCACCACCGUACGACCACCACCACAACCACCACCACCACCAAUCAUCAAUGGCGAAUCAAAUAACAACAAAACCGUUAUUCAUUCUCGUACUAUCACUCUUAUUGGUAUCCUCAUCAAUCGCAAGCUCCGAUGUUCCCUUCAUCGUCGCUCACAAGAAAGCCACUCUCAGCAGCCUCAAAUCCGGAGCUGAGCGCGUCUCCGUCUCCAUUGAUAUUUACAAUCAAGGAUCCUCGACUGCAUAUGAUAUAACCCUUGUUGAUGAUCACUGGCCUCAAGAUAUGUUUAAUGUCGUCAGUGGCAACACUUCACAGUCAUGGGAAAGACUUCAUGCUGGUGGUCUUCUGUCACACUCUUUUGAAUUGGAGGGCAAAGUGAAAGGAUUGUUUUUGGGCUCUCCAGCUGUCAUUACAUUCCGCAUCCCCACAAAGGCUGCCUUGCAGGAGGCAUACUCAACUCCUAUUCUGCCUCUUGAUGUCCUUGCAGACAAACCACCAGUGCAGAAGCUCGAGUGGGUAAGUUUCUUGUUGGGAUUUCAAACAUGCAAGUUCAUCAAUUUAUGCUUGGACACCCUUCUUUUUGGUUUUGCUGUUAACUUAAGGUGGUCUUUUUUCUUUCAUUUUGUAUGGGAUGACCUCUGGUUUGGCCAAAAUUCUGCAGGCGAAGGUACGAAUCAUCUUCUUAUUGUCUUGAUCAUUAGUUGUUAAAAGUUAUUAUAACAUGCUUCCUGGAAUUCAAAUUUGACUUGACAAGUAAAAAGGCCAAAAGAAAAGCUGUUGGUUAAGUAUGGGUCUCUAAUUUCUGUGAUCUCCAUUGUGGUUCUGUUCGUGUACUUGCUCGUUGCCCCAUCCAAAUCCGGUGCUGCAAAAUCAGGCAAGAAGAGACGUUAAACAUUACAGCCGAGAAACUGAUCCGGUAGGUUGUCUGCAGUUUAGAUUUUUCAGAGGAAAUCUCUCCACAAGUACUGCUAGUUAAAUUGUUUUCUAGCCGUAGAACUGAAAUUUUGUAAGUGGGAGGAGUUAGCAAUUUAAAUAACAUAACUUUUUAUUGUUA